This is a small nucleolar RNA of Rhinolophus ferrumequinum (greater horseshoe bat), 129 nucleotides long. The record is from Ensembl. Lineage: Eukaryota; Metazoa; Chordata; Mammalia; Chiroptera; Rhinolophidae.
AGGCAUUUCAAAGAGGACUUGCAGGAAUGUGAAACCAGGAGCUCUUAACACCAGUGACCUAAGACUGAAUUUCCCCACAGAAUGCCAUGGUCACUCAAUAGUGCUGUGUGUUCCUGAGGAGAUGGAGCC